This 450-nucleotide ribosomal RNA is filed under the name uncultured bacterium. RNAcentral's name for it is "partial 16S ribosomal RNA". It matches the Rfam family "Bacterial small subunit ribosomal RNA", at positions 354 to 796 of the family's 1533-position model. The record is from RNAcentral.
GUGGGGAAUAUUGGACAAUGGGCGCAAGCCUGAUCCAGCCAUACCGCGUGGGUGAAGAAGGCCUUCGGGUUGUAAAGCCCUUUUGUUGGGAAAGAAAUCCUGUCGGUUAAUACCUGGCGGGGAUGACGGUACCCAAAGAAUAAGCACCGGCUAACUUCGUGCCAGCAGCCGCGGUAAUACGAAGGGUGCAAGCGUUACUCGGAAUUACUGGGCGUAAAGCGUGCGUAGGUGGUGGUUUAAGUCCGUUGUGAAAGCCCUGGGCUCAACCUGGGAAUUGCAGUGGAUACUGGAUCACUAGAGUGUGGUAGAGGGAUGCGGAAUUUCUGGUGUAGCAGUGAAAUGCGUAGAGAUCAGAAGGAACAUCCGUGGCGAAGGCGGCAUCCUGGGCCAACACUGACACUGAGACACGAAAGCGUGGGGAGCAAACAGGAUUAGAAACCCCUGUAGUCC